Triticum aestivum (bread wheat) is the source of this 2562-nucleotide long non-coding RNA. RefSeq lists it as uncharacterized. The record is from RefSeq and is a predicted model, not a curated record. The transcript has 4 exons. Lineage: Eukaryota; Viridiplantae; Streptophyta; Magnoliopsida; Poales; Poaceae.
AACAACACUGGAGGAAGUCGAAAGACUCACAGAAACAACUAAUGAACUUUGCGCAAAGCUUCAAGAUGAACGCAAGAAAAGAUCAGCCAUUUGUGUACCAAGCCAGCUCCACAUCGACCGGCUCUCCUCUUCUCUCACAGCCAGAUCCUCUCUCCCUCGCCUCGUCUCCGACGAUUUUGCCUCUCAACAACGAAUCCAGAUCCGGUGGAGAUCGACCUUGGAAGCCACACUGGGAGGCACCAGGAGCAGGAGAGGUCGCGACCGACGGCGGGAGGAGAGGCCCCAGCGGUGGAUGAAACGCUGCAGAUCGCCGGCGUCUCCGCCUCUCCCCCGCAUGCCGCCUCCUCCACUCCCCUUCCCUCACAGCCCCACCCCCUCUCAUCUCGUCUGCUAACCCUUUUUCCCUCUCAAUACACUCAAUAAUGAAUCCUGAUCCGUGCAGAUGGAUGGCAGAGUCCCUAUGGUCGAUGGCGCCGGGGAGGAGGCAGAGCGGCAGGACGGGUUCUGUAAUGCUGGGUGGAGCGGCGGCCGGAACGGGUCACCGGUGUGAGAGGGUGGAGUCCUUUCGUGUGGCCAGAAAUAUUCCUACAGACUACAUCGCCCUUACUUUCAGAAUGUCAUACUAUAGUUUGCAUAGAGCGGGGCAUGCUCGAUCAGUUUGGAGGCCAAGAUGACACCAGAUGGACCUUACUUUCAGAAUGGCAUAUCGCUAUCUAUUCUAUUUUCUAAAUUUAACCUCUUGAAAGAAUCACAUCUACUGUAUAUUCUGAUUCUACUGACUUAAUCAAUAGUUGUGGAUCCAUAUUCCUUGCAACACCGUUGAUCUCUUGGUGCGGUGGCGCGAGGCCAACCUGGGUUUGCCGGGGUGAUCUCCCUGUCACUGGACGAGGAGGUUGACAAGGACACCGUGGUGGAACUUGGCGACGCAGACCACAGGAGGUAGGAGGAGGAGAAGAAGAAGAAGAACCGGCGCAAGAAGAGGAGGAAGAAGCAGCGGAAGGAGGACGCCACCGCAAACAAGGAGAUAUCACAUUUGGUUCCAAAUUGGUGCUGUGAUGUAUGCUUCAAGAAUUGAAGAUCGACACGGUGGCUGAGGGUUGUGUGUUGGCUGUCGGGGCUAGCUGUAGCGGAGGCGACAGCGGCCAUUGCUAGCUAGAGGUAUUGGCAUGCGUCAGCUGGCACGCAGCUGCAGCACAGGAGGCAUGGUCGGAGGCAAGAAAGAAGGAACUCUCUAAAGUAUAGUAUGAAUCUCUCCCUGCACUAUUAGCUUGAUUUACUUGGUUAUCUAGGUCACAGAGCAUGUCACUGCUGUUACAUGUUUCACUUCAUUCUUUUUUUUCCUUUUUGUAGAGAUGAUUUCAGUACUCUAUCAGUGUGAUGUUAAUUAGCACCAAGAUGCAUGUGUCACUCGUUCGAUCAAGUGUGAUGAAUUUUGUAUUUUGUUCCUGGUGAUCUGAAAUCCCGGUUUUGUCUCGGCUAAAUGUUGCUUAAUAUACACCUGAUAUUUUGAAUCUGAUGCAAUAACAAUAGAUAAUGUAAACAGGAAAGUGAAAGGGGCGCCUCCCACCACCACUUAGCUUUCUCUCACGAGGCGCCACCAGGUGGCGCCCCAACCGCUAGUAAUGUAGCAAAGCUCAGUGGUUUUGGCGUGUGCCGAAUGUUCACUGAUGAGUUCAGGGGCACAACCACUCUAUAUAAGCAUACCCACCCAAAGGGAUCUUUUGUGUACAUUGAUCCUGAAUAUGUUAUGACUGGUGACCUGACCCCCCUAUCUGAUGUAUACUCUUUCGGAAUCGUGCUGUUGCGCCUCUUGACUGGAAGACCAGGAUUCGGGCUGUUGAAAGAUGUGCAACGGGCAGUGGAAAAGGGUUGCCUGGAAGCAAUUUUGGAUUCAUCUGCUGGGGGCUGGCCAGCUAUGCAGGCUGAGCAAUUGGCUCGGGUAGGUCUGAAAUGUUGUGAAAUCAGAAGAAAAAACCGUCCUGACCUGCAAACGGAGGUUUGGACUGUACUUGAACCAAUGUUGAAGUCCAGUUCCUUCAUGUUGUGUUCCUUAUCAUUUAAAUCAGUAUCCGAAGACCUUGGAGGUGUGCCGCCCUACUUCAUCUGUCCAAUACUACAGGAUAUCAUGAGGGAACCUCUAAUUGCUGCAGAUGGUUUUACCUAUGAAGCCGAAGCUAUAAGGGAGUGGAUUGACAAUGGCCACCAUACAUCACCCAUGACAAAUCUUGAGCUACUCCACCGUGAUCUUUUGCCGAACCAUGCCCUCCGUUCUGCGAUCCAAGAAUGGCUGCAGACAAAUGCAAAUUAAUAUGUUAGCUUUAUCACCAUGGAACUUUGAGAUGAAAAAUUGGUGUGCGCGUAACUCCUUGCACAGAUUAGUAGGCACAAACCGCAAAAACCAAACGCUUCUGUGUGUAUUCAGAAAGAAUGAUCUAAGAUAUACACAGUGCUUUUCAUUUUGUUUCUUCAGCAAAACGUGUAUGUAAAAUAUAAUAGUUUGGAGCUCCAUCAGUAGCAUGCUGUACUUUGUACAUGGAUUUAUAAAGAGAAAACUGUUUUGGU